CUCCUCUGUGAACCCUGUAGGGAGAGGAUAAGAGAGGCCUGGGGAAGCACAGUUCUAUGUCACUGGACUAAGAAGGGGCUGUGUCACCAUGGCCUGGAGCCCUGUCCUCCUCUUGCUCCUCUGUCAUUGCACAGGUUCUCUGUCCCAGCCUGUGCUGACCCAGCCAACCUCCCUCUCUGGAUCUGUGGGAGCAACAGCCAGACUCACCUGCACCCUGAGCAGGGACAUAAGUGUCAGUGGGAAAAACAUGUACUGGUAUCAGCAGAAGCCUGGAAGCCCUCCCCGGUUUUUCCUGUACUACUACUCAGACUCAGACAAACAGCUAGGACCUGGGGUCCCCAGUCGAGUCUCUGGAUCCAAAGAUACCUCCACAAAUGCAGCAAUUUUGCUCAUCUCUGGGCUCCAGCCUGAGGACGAGGCUGAUUAUUACUGUCAGGUGUAUAACAGUGAUGCUCAGCACAGUGAUAGACACAGAUGA
Non-coding RNA from Lutra lutra (Eurasian river otter), 478 nucleotides. The record is from the annotation of a RefSeq genome assembly. NCBI's taxonomy places the organism in Eukaryota, Metazoa, Chordata, Mammalia, Carnivora, Mustelidae.